Heterocephalus glaber (naked mole-rat) is the source of this 1661-nucleotide long non-coding RNA. Lineage: Eukaryota; Metazoa; Chordata; Mammalia; Rodentia; Bathyergidae. The record is from Ensembl.
GGUCUCUCCAGCUGGGCAGGGGAGGGAGCAGCGGGACUCGGGGGCCGUGAUGGCUUGAUCCCCCUCACCUCCUUCCAGGCCAGUGAGAGAGGGCGGAGGGGAGCUGCCCAGAGGCCCGCCCCAGCAGUGUGGGUGACCAGGGGCCCAGCAGCGAUCCAGCAGCAGAGAUGGGGCCCAGGUGCCUCCGAGUCCUUCCUUCCCCGGCCCCAAGGUGCUGCUUUACACUCCCGAAGGCCUUGGCCAGGCCUGAGGUGGGGAUGGGGACACCAGGUCACCCGUCACCAACUCCCUGAGCACCCUCACCCUGGAGACCUCGGUUCCUUGUCUGAAAGGGAAGAAAGGGGGAGCAGGCUUGAACUGAGGCCUUUUGGGGUUAAAAUCAAUCUUAGGCAUGUUUUCUAGGAGGCCUCGGGUGUCUCUGUCUUUGGCCAACUUUUGGAAGCCGAAUCACUAUAGGGCAGAGGCGAGGCAGGCCUGCUUGCUGGGCAGGAGGCAGUGGGGGCUUCCCCUUAGGGGAGACGCAGGGUAACCAUGGACCCCUGAGAGGCAGAGCUGGUCUGGGAGGCCCCAAAGCCCCUGCUGCUCCUCCACCCUCCUUCUGCCUACUCCCCCGUGCCUGUCCCGAGGGCACACGGACAUCCCACCAUGUGCUUGGUCCUGGGCCCGGAGCCGAUGGCUGGGGUUCUGGGAAGUUGCACCCCUCUGAGCCUCCUCUGAUGAGGCCUUCCAGUCCAAGGGGAGAGAAGUUCCUGGAGACGGAGGAAGCGCCGGGCGAGCAGCACAGGUGCCCGAGAGGAGUCUGGCUCUGAGGCUUGAGUCCUUCCUGUCCCUCUGUGCAGUCUCGGCGGUGCCUGAGACCCCUGGGCUUCAACCCUGUGUGCUUCCCACUUCUGUUUCCGGAGUCCAGAGGUCCUCACUGUCCCGCCUGGCAUACACCCUGGAGCUGGCCAACUCCUCAUCUUCUGUCCUUCCAGGGGACAAAGACUGUUGGUGCUGGCAUCAGGAACCAGGACGGGCGAGGCCCGGUAUGCUGGGCAGGUGUGUUUCUCCCCUUCCUUAUCAGUGCUUUUCAACAACUUGGAAUGUUGGCCCAAGAUUUGCCUUUUCCCUGGAAUACUGGGGAGUGAACCCAGAGUUCACACUGAGCCACUUCUCCAGCCCUUUCUUGCGGGGUGGGGUUUGAGACAGUAUGAAGUUCGGGCUGGCCUUGAACUCAUGACGAUCCUCCUGCCUCAGCCCCCUGAGGGCUGGGACUACAGGGGUGAGUUACCACACCUGGUGGGCCCUUUUUAUUUUGAGACAAGGUCUCCCUAAGUUGCUAAAUCUGCCAGACCGGGCUCAAAAUUUUGAUCCCCCCUGCCUUAGCCUCCUAAGUGCUGGAAUUACAGGUGUGUACUACCAAACCAGCUGGCCUAAGAAUUCUGAUCUUGCACUUCAUAUAAAGUUCAGGCAUGAAGUUGCUCAGGGUCCAGGGGAGGCCACAUCUCCCAGACAAGGCCCUCACUGUGUGCCAGGCCCCCCUCAGCAGUGAGGACGCGGAUGGGUUCGUGGUAUUGCAGUCAGCACAGGUUUGGAGGGAGCACAGGGAGCCGCAGCUGGACAGAUGAGGGGCUCCGGGAAAGCUUUCUGGGGAAGACAUCUGAGCUGCACCUGCAGGGCAG